UGGAAGAGUGGCAGAGUGGCCGAAUGCGUCUGUCUUGAAAACAGAAGUCCCUUCACGGGGACCGUGGGUUCGAAUCCUACCUCUUCCGA
RNAcentral lists this transfer RNA (89 nucleotides) under Chlamydiota bacterium. Its description in RNAcentral is "Chlamydiae bacterium tRNA-Ser". It matches the Rfam family "tRNA". Rfam says of the family: Transfer RNA (tRNA) molecules are approximately 80 nucleotides in length. Their secondary structure includes four short double-helical elements and three loops (D, anti-codon, and T loops). Further hydrogen bonds mediate the characteristic L-shaped molecular structure. tRNAs have two regions of fundamental functional importance: the anti-codon, which is responsible for specific mRNA codon recognition, and the 3' end, to which the tRNAs corresponding amino acid is attached (by aminoacyl-tRNA synthetases). tRNAs cope with the degeneracy of the genetic code in two manners: having more than one tRNA (with a specific anti-codon) for a particular amino acid; and 'wobble' base-pairing, i.e. permitting non-standard base-pairing at the 3rd anti-codon position. Lineage: Bacteria; Pseudomonadati; Chlamydiota. The record is from RNAcentral.